UGGGGAAUUUUGGACAAUGGGGGAAACCCUGAUCCAGCCAUCCCGCGUGUGCGAUGAAGGCCUUCGGGUUGUAAAGCACUUUUGGCAGGAAAGAAACGUCAUGGGUUAAUACCCCGUGAAACUGACGGUACCUGCAGAAUAAGCACCGGCUAACUACGUGCCAGCAGCCGCGGUAAUACGUAGGGUGCAAGCGUUAAUCGGAAUUACUGGGCGUAAAGCGUGCGCAGGCGGUUCGGAAAGAAAGAUGUGAAAUCCCAGAGCUCAACUUUGGAACUGCAUUUUUAACGAACGUGCUAGAGUGUGUCAGAGGGAGGUGGAAUUCCGCGUGUAGCAGUGAAAUGCGUAGAUAUGCGGAGGAACACCGAUGGCGAAGGCAGCCUCCUGGGAUAACACUGAAGCUCAUGCACGAAAGCGUGGGGAGCAAACAGG
This 429-nucleotide ribosomal RNA is filed under the name Acidobacteriota bacterium. Its description in RNAcentral is "Acidobacteria bacterium partial 16S ribosomal RNA". It matches the Rfam family "Bacterial small subunit ribosomal RNA", at positions 355 to 776 of the family's 1533-position model. Lineage: Bacteria; Pseudomonadati; Acidobacteriota. The record is from RNAcentral.